AAGCAGGGGCGGGCCCUGCGGCCCGCGCCCCGCCCUUCGCCCUGCCCGCCCGGCCCUCGCUCCCGGCGGCGCGGGGCGGCGAGGCGAGGGGGGCCUUCUCCCUUCGCCGCCUUUGGGCGCCUCCCCCGGACCGCGCUCGGCUUCACCGCCCCCGGCCCCCGCCUUCCCUUCCGGCGCCCGGCAGCCGCCGCUCCUUCCGGGCCGGCGGGGACCCCGCUCGGCCGCCUCCGCCUUGGCUUCUCUCCGGGGCCGAGCGCGCCCCCGAGGCCGGCUGGCUCGCUCGGGCGGCGGCGCGCUCCCUGCCCGGCGCCCGCAGCGGCCGUGGCGCCGCGGCCGAGCGCGCCCCUGCGCUGGGAGGCGGCGGGGUCGCGGGGCUCGCCUCGGCACAGGGCGGGCGCGGCGCAGACGGGGCUUCGGAACCGCUUGCCUCUGUCUGCCUUCGCCUUUUUUAUCCUCAUUUCAAACACCUUUUCCCACAAUCCUUUAUUCAUUCUUUUCAUCAGAAUUACUCCUAUGAUUUUGAAAAUACACAAAAUCUUCGUCUUCAUUUGGCAUAGCAUCCAUCCUUGGUGCCUGGAGGUAGCAAACACUGAUUUACAAGCCACAGAGCUUCUUGUCUUUUUUCCUGUUUUCUUUGCAGAACAGCACAAAACAGAGAAGUCUGGGCUUGUGCUCAAGAAUAUCAGGUCUGAUGCUGUAGCCGAAACUGCUCUUGCUGCUCACAGGAGAAAAAGAAAAAUGAAAAGUUCCAGUCCUUUGGAGGAGCAUACAGGUUCCCGAAUAACAGUGUUUUAAUCCUCAGAGUGCUGGAGAAACAAGGCCGAGGGACAGAGAAGUUGUUUUCAUCAGUAUUUAGAUGGUCUUUCUGUAAUUUAAUUUUUUUUGUUUGUUUGUUUCCUGAUAAAGAGGUAUUUUUAGUUACAAGAAAGGGAAGGAAGGGAAACCUCUUCUGAUCAUUUUGUAGUGUAUAUCCCACCAUGAACUACGGCCAAUACCCAGCAGUGUGUCAGGAGAAUGAAGUAAGACUGCCCUACAAUCCUGAAUAUAUCAAUCACCAUUGUGGAAGCCACAAUUCAUGGUGAGGAAAAGAGUUUCCUCUCACUUGUAUACAGUGACACUGAAAGUAUUUCAUCAACAUUUAUUACAGGGCAUUUUUCAUGCCCUAGUAAAUCAGUGUGAGAAAGAAAGCUUUGAGAAUCCCUUUCAGUAAGCACAAAGGGAAACAAUGGAAGCCUAUGAUUGUUGAAAGGAAAAGGUGGCAAUUAUUCUAAGUUUACUGAACAUUAGGACCACUAUGCUCAACAUCGGCUUUAAAAGAAGGCAUUAAAACACAGGACGACAAUCAUUUAUUACUGUCUACGGUGUUCUUUUCUGGACUAGGAGCUAGGCUUGAUGUUCAUUUUGGGUAAGCAAUCUGGAUAAAGUUGAACUGGUCUGAAGUUAAAGUGGGGUUUUGAUGCAGAACCUGAACUUACCUUAGUCUCACAUCAUUUGAGAUAACUCUAGCUCUGGAUAGCAUAUGUAUUGAAGUACCCACAGUGUGGAAGGCAGUCGGUUUUAUUCUCUUCUUUUAAUUUCGUUUUUAUUAAGUACCAUAGUUCUGUGAACUUUUGUCCAAUUGACAUAAGACUCCUGUCGAUGGGCUCAUUUUUCCCAGUUAUUUUUUUAAUGAAAUGACAGUUAGAAUCUCUCUGUAUUCCUGUGCUAAUAAAGUGAUGAUCUUAAUUUCCA
This is a long non-coding RNA of Apteryx haastii (Great spotted kiwi), 1731 nucleotides long. The record is from Ensembl. NCBI's taxonomy places the organism in Eukaryota, Metazoa, Chordata, Aves, Apterygiformes, Apterygidae.